RNAcentral lists this transfer RNA (60 nucleotides) under Mesocricetus auratus (golden hamster). It matches the Rfam family "tRNA", at positions 7 to 64 of the family's 71-position model. Rfam says of the family: Transfer RNA (tRNA) molecules are approximately 80 nucleotides in length. Their secondary structure includes four short double-helical elements and three loops (D, anti-codon, and T loops). The record is from Rfam by way of RNAcentral. Lineage: Eukaryota; Metazoa; Chordata; Mammalia; Rodentia; Cricetidae.
AUAGCUCAGUAGUUAAGAGCACUGGUUACUCUUCCAGAGAACCUGAGUUCAAGUCUCAGU